GCAUAUCAAUAAGCGGAGGAAAAGAAACCAACAGGGAUUGCCCCAGUAACGGCGAGUGAAGCGGCAACAGCUCAAAUUUGAAAUCUGGCCCCAGGCCCGAGUUGUAAUUUGCAGAGGAUGCUUUUGGCGCGGUGCCUUCCGAGUUCCCUGGAACGGGACGCCAUAGAGGGUGAGAGCCCCGUACGGUUGGACACCAAGCCUUUGUAAAGCUCCUUCGACGAGUCGAGUAGUUUGGGAAUGCUGCUCAAAAUGGGAGGUAUAUUUCUUCUAAAGCUAAAUAUUGGCCAGAGACCGAUAGCGCACAAGUAGAGUGAUCGAAAGAUGAAAAGCACUUUGAAAAGAGGGUUAAACAGCACGUGAAAUUGUUGAAAGGGAAGCGCUUGUGACCAGACUUGCGCCCGGUGAAUCACCCAGCUCUCGCGGCUGGGGCACUUUGCCGGCACAGGCCAGCAUCAGCUUGCCGUCGGGGACAAAAGCUUCGGGAACGUAGCUCUCUUCGGGGAGUGUUAUAGCCCGUUGCAUAAUACCCUUCGGCGGGCUGAGGUACGCGCUCCGCAAGGAUGCUGGCGUAAUGGUCAUCAGCGACCCGUCUUGAAACACGGACCAAGGAGUCAACCUUAUGUGCGAGUGUUUGGGUGUUAAACCCCUACGCGUAAUGAAAGUGAACGCAGGUGAGAGCUUCGGCGCAUCAUCGACCGAUCCUGAUGUUCUCGGAUGGAUUUGAGUAAGAGCAUAUAGGGUUGGACCCGAAAGAAGGUGAACUAUGCGUGUAUAGGGUGAAGCCAGAGGAAACUCUGGUGGAGGCUCGCAGCGGUUCUGACGUGCAAAUCGAUCGUCAAAUAUGCGCAUGGGGGCGAAAGACUAAUCGAACCUUCUAGUAGCUGGUUUCCGCCGAA
RNAcentral lists this ribosomal RNA (896 nucleotides) under Colletotrichum coccodes. RNAcentral's name for it is "LSU rRNA". It matches the Rfam family "Eukaryotic large subunit ribosomal RNA", at positions 38 to 965 of the family's 3401-position model. Lineage: Eukaryota; Fungi; Ascomycota; Sordariomycetes; Glomerellales; Glomerellaceae. The record is from RNAcentral.